This is a long non-coding RNA of Penaeus chinensis, 684 nucleotides long. RefSeq lists it as uncharacterized. The transcript has 3 exons. The record is from RefSeq and is a predicted model, not a curated record. NCBI's taxonomy places the organism in Eukaryota, Metazoa, Arthropoda, Malacostraca, Decapoda, Penaeidae.
GUGCAUAUUAUUUACUGGAAAGGAAGAAUGGCGAGUAAAAUAACCGUUGUGGCAGUUAUGACUAUUGCCAUCCUAAUCUUCUUAGUCGAUGCUGGAAGUCAUUAUAAGGAUUCAGAUUCCACGAGGCUCAAAAGACAUCUGCUUCCUUACCCUCACUUCACACAGUUUUUCACUCCCAAACCAAGUGGAUUAUCUGAAUAAACUGUACACCAUGUACCAAGAUCCUGAGUUAGAUUCAGUGUCUACACGAGACCUGCUACCGACUCCUACUUCGUUUGCACGAAUACCAAAUAACGCAGGCACCGCGUUCUUUUGACGCCAACCAUUCGUGUUUCUAGUGACCUUUCUGAGAGCACGCUUCAAAGUAAGAAACGCUAACCCCUUUUAAUACCACUUGUGACUCUAGGAAAUGAAACUAGAAAUGGUGAUGGGGUUUUAUUAAAAUUAAUUCUUGUUAAUAGUUUUAUGAUAUCCGUUUCACUAGCCUAAUAAAAGGGUAUGAAGUUUAUUGACAUUUUUCCUCCCUGUAUGUUAUCCUUAUAUACAUAGGAGUUUAUUAUUAAAAACUAAUAUAUAUUUGUUAUAUUCGUACAUUUACAUGUGUGUUCAGACGCCGUGGUGUAAUGAGCACAAGGGAUGUGAAGUUAGAAUGACCCAAAAAUUCGUCUUGAAACCACCCUGUAU